GAUCACUUUAAGACCCUAAAUAAAAGGCAGACAGCUCCACUCAAAAACUGAGGCUGAUGUGAGGGAGGUGAGAGGUCACUGCACUUGGUACUUCCUAGAGAUGGCCAGAGCCAGGCCCAAGACACGGCAGAGAUCAAAGGCAGUAGAGAGCCCUGGCCGGUUCAAUGACCGCUUCUGGCUAAAGACUUUUGGUUCUAUUCAGAAACCUGUGUUGUUUUUUUUUGAUGUUGUAGUUUAUUUUGUGAUUUUUGGAAUCAUACUUUAUAUUUCCAAAUUUAAAUUUAAAUGCAAGAUCUUUCACCAUAAACAGAAGAUACCUACAAAAUACUGUCAGAAGUCCAGGUAUACUGAUAACACUGAAAAUUCUAUUAGCAACCUUCUGGGUUGCUUAGAUUGAUUUUAAUGUAUAUAUUAGACAUUUGUAUGUAUGCUCUGACAUUGUGAUAUGUACAGCCUACAUUGGGGUAAGAAAAUGGGUAUCCAAGGUCCUACUUUUUUAAUAGCUCGAAUAUUUCUAGAGUACUUGAGCCACGUGUAUUUCUGUAUUUAAAGAAUUGCUGACUAACUUUCAGGUAACCAGACCCAUCUCAAAGAACCAAGAAAAGGCUUUAGCAUGAAAUAUCUUUCUGAGCUGGUGAGUUAGAAGAAUGGAAGGUAAGGGGAAGGUCUGUCAUCUACCAGGACAUUCCCAUGAUGAGUACAGGUCAGACUGUGCCAUGAGGUGGGCCUCCAGGUCCCCGCCCUGGCCCUCUUUCUUCUGUCACUAACCCUGGUUAUCAUUUUACAGGCUUGUAACUGGAUGUUCUACCAGAGCUCUCACUAUAUUGUCAAGCCUAAGAUUGAAAAACUGGAGGCUUUAUUAGUGUUUUUUAUAUAGAAAACAGUUAUUACAUAUUUGUUAAGUCAAGUCAUUUCUUAAGAAUUUUCUAAAAUGCCAACUAUCACAGGAUUAUUUCAAGCUAGUCAUUGAGGUAUAUGACAAAAUGUAAAUAACAAAAAACUGAAAUCUACCAAAAGAGCAUGGAGGUUUUUCUUAAGUAAUAAUAUUGUGCUCUCCACCUCACCCUUGUGUAAACCCUCGGGUCAGGUUGGUUCCCCUGGGUCACAAAAUGGUAAAUGUUCCAUACUGACAUGCGAGAGGCAGCCUGACCCGUUACUUGGAAAGAAUUUGUGAAUCAUUUCUGGGUUUGUGUUUUGCCUAAGAGCUGAUCUUAUUUCUGAUUUGUGUGUGUGUGGUUUAUAAAUUUUACUAUGUGUAACAAAAGUCUGCUUUUCCAGCAUGAGCACGCUGAAGCCCUCUGCUCACUGGCACUUCCUGACUCAAAGGCACUAACAGUGCUCAUGUGCCUUCCAGGUGGUUCAAGGCAGAGGCCACUGUGCUCAGUGUAGUCUGUGAUGAAUAGUUUAAGUGUUCAGAAAUUGGUAAACCAACGCAUGGGAUACAGUAACUCUCUGUUAACCAGAACACCGUCAUUUGACCAAGCCCUACAAGAGUUUACCACACUAGACGUUCUGUGAAUCCUCGAGUCAGUUCCAUUGAGAGGGGCCUGUCUCCAGGGCCAGGCUAUUUACUUGGGAAAGUAUUUUUCUUACAGUUCUUGGCCACAGUGUUUUUGCUGAGGGUUUCUGUCUGGGCUUAUCAGGUCCAUACUUAGACCCUGAGCAUCUUCUUCAUUCAGAUUUGAAUGGCGUAUUAAAUUAGCACCAAAUAUCAGUGGGACUGUAGGAGGUAACCGAACACUAGUGCCAUUGACUCUCAUUGAAUAACUUUAUAUUUCCAUAAUCCUGAAUUGUAUAGAUAAGUUUUCUAGCUCUCUGGUCCCUUUAUUGCUUUUUAAAAUAGGGUUUGAAACAUGCCACAGGAAGGUUGCUCUCCAAAAAUACACAGUGCAGUGCAAAAAAAA
This 1904-nucleotide long non-coding RNA is filed under the name Macaca fascicularis (crab-eating macaque). Its description in RNAcentral is "lncRNA (ENSMFAG00000061272.1)". The record is from RNAcentral. Lineage: Eukaryota; Metazoa; Chordata; Mammalia; Primates; Cercopithecidae.